ACGGGAGGCAGCAGUGGGGAAUAUUGGACAAUGGGGGAAACCCUGAUCCAGCGACGCCGCGUGAGUGAAGAAGUAUUUCGGUAUGUAAAGCUCUAUCAGCAAGGAAGAAAAUGACGGUACUUGACUAAGAAGCCCCGGCUAACUACGUGCCAGCAGCCGCGGUAAUACGUAGGGGGCAAGCGUUAUCCGGAUUUACUGGGUGUAAAGGGAGCGUAGACGGUUUGGCAAGUCUGAAGUGAAAGCCCGGGGCUCAACCCCGGUAUUGCUUUGGAAACUGUUGAACUAGAGUGCCGGAGGGGUAAGCGGAAUUCCUAGUGUAGCGGUGAAAUGCGUAGAUAUUAGGAGGAACACCAGUGGCGAAGGCGGCUUACUGGACUGUAACUGACGUUGAGGCUCGAAAGCGUGGGGAGCAAACAGGAUUAGAUACCCUGGUA
RNAcentral lists this ribosomal RNA (434 nucleotides) under uncultured Clostridium sp. RNAcentral's name for it is "partial 16S ribosomal RNA". It matches the Rfam family "Bacterial small subunit ribosomal RNA", at positions 341 to 792 of the family's 1533-position model. The record is from RNAcentral. Lineage: Bacteria; Bacillati; Bacillota; Clostridia; Eubacteriales; Clostridiaceae.